AGGCAUUGGAAAAAGUAACUUUUACAUGUUCCACCACAUCAAGAUGGCCCAUUUGUCUGGCACAAUACC
This 69-nucleotide transfer RNA is filed under the name Nucula nucleus. RNAcentral describes it as "tRNA-Ile". The record is from RNAcentral. Lineage: Eukaryota; Metazoa; Mollusca; Bivalvia; Nuculida; Nuculidae.